GGUGAUUCCAUAAACCAAAGUAUCUGUUUUUAAAAUGGUGAUAAUAGGUCCUCUUGUUAUUGUGAGAAUGAGAAUGUGCAGUGUCUAGUGGAGGGAGGCACUUAAUACAUGUUGAUGGGAUUGUUCUUUUCUUAUUUUCCUCCAGCUGGUCCCUAAGAUAAUGUUUAAAGCUUAGCUUUUGCCUCCACUUGUCCUGAACUGUCUAGUGUGAUAUAGAUAAUAAAAAACAGAUACUGAGAUGUUUUUAAAUGUCAAGUUAAAACAAGUUAAUAAUUGCUCUCCCAUAAUAAGAGAGCCAACUGUAGUCCAGGAUCAAAAGCAUUUUUUUUUCUAUUUUGGAGCUGCCAAAAUUCUCUUCAGGGUGCAUGUGAGGCAAAUGUAAGGAUGCACUGAGAAUCUGAAUGGCAUCAUUGUCACAGCCCAUGCUAGACCCUGGCUGGGGGUAUCUAUUCAGUUUGAUGAGGACGUGAUUUAAUACAGUUUUGUCUGAAAAAAAAAAGGAAGGGCUGAGAAACCAAGAGGAUGAGCCAGGCAAUCUGCUUAAAUAUCAAAACAUGUUAUAGUCUGUGGAUAGUCCUCCAACACCAGGGAGGCUGUAAGGGAUGUGGCUAGUGCUAGAAGUCCCAGUCAUCAUCCCUUACACGUGUAUAGCUCUUUCUCUGCUGUUUGCAAAAGGCUGCCACAGACAUGAGUUCACAUUGUCCUGCUAUGGAGACAGAGUGGUGCUUGUCCACACAGAGCACCCAGAGCCAAAAAACCUCACAUUUCCCCCAUCUCCCAUUUUGAGAGCAUUUAGAGGGAAUGACAUUGGCUUUGUGGGUAGGGAAGAACACUGUGCUCUCAGGAAGCAGCUCAUCAGUGGCCACUGGGAUUCAGUGAUACCACCUUCAGCAAGACCUCUAACGAGGGUAUAAGCCACAGAUGCUUUCAGGAAAACAAAGUGUGGCCAAGCUCAUGCCUCAACCCCAAACCCCUGGGUGCAGCCCUUUCCAUCAAGACCCCACUAAUGGGGAGGCUGUUGUGCCUGUACUCUGUGGGCACAGGGUUGGCCUCUCCUCUGCCUGCCCAGGAGGAAUGGUUGUUCCUCACCCAGGUGGGCAGUAGGAGACUUGUGGUUUGAGCCACAGAUGUCUGAAAGGGAUCUCUGGUCUGCGGAUCUGGUUGGACAGAACAGCCCUGAGUACAUGGAUAUAUCUGAGAGCUUGGAGCCUGAUGCUCAAUGUUCUCGUUAUGGAAAGGAAAAAGUGCUGUUUGUCAGCUUUUGCUUCUUUUUCCUAUGGCUAGGAAAUGCUGGCUGGGGGGAGGAUUCUUCAGAAGGCCCAUCAGUUCUGUGGGGCAGGAAGCACUUCAGGCUUAGUAGAGCUCAGGAACUAAGACGAGGUGUUUUCUCAAAGGGCAACAUACCCUCUCCUCUGUGGUCUUUUUCAGACUAUCUUGUUGUUUCCUGGUAGAGGAGAAAAGAUACUGAGUACUCCUCUAAGGUGCUCAUAGUUUUUAACCCUCCUGGAAGAUGGAACACAUCCCCAAAGGAACCCAAGAAGAGUGCAGAACCUGGGGAUCUAAUACCCAGAAUCACUGGGCCCUGGGCUGAAUCAGGUGGACAGAGUCCACAUCAGUAGGAUAGAACAGGGAUUCCAGAAAUGUGAAGCUGAAGAGGGAGGAGGUGGAUCAAGUGAGCAAGAGCCAGGCAGAGCAAAAGCCACAGGAAUCAGCAGGUUCCAGAUGAAGAAGAAAGGGGGUUAAGGACUUAUAUUAGAAGUGACAGGGACACGUGGAGUUGGCUCUUCUAUCCCUUAGGUUCAUCAGAGUUAAAAG
RNAcentral lists this long non-coding RNA (1815 nucleotides) under Marmota monax (woodchuck). Lineage: Eukaryota; Metazoa; Chordata; Mammalia; Rodentia; Sciuridae. The record is from RNAcentral.